ACUCCUACGGGAGGCAGCAGUGGGGAAUUUUGGACAAUGGGCGAAAGCCUGAUCCAGCAAUGCCGCGUGAGUGAAGAAGGCCUUCGGGUUGUAAAGCUCUUUUGUCAGGGAAGAAACGGUGAGAGCUAAUAUCUUUUGCUAAUGACGGUACCUGAAGAAUAAGCACCGGCUAACUACGUGCCAGCAGCCGCGGUAAUACGUAGGGUGCAAGCGUUAAUCGGAAUUACUGGGCGUAACGCGUGCGCAGGCGGUUUUGUAAGUCUGAUGUGAAAUCCCCGGGCUCAACCUGGGAAUUGCAUUGGAGACUGCAAGGCUAGAAUCUGGCAGAGGGGGGUAGAAUUCCACGUGUAGCAGUGAAAUGCGUAGAUAUGUGGAGGAACACCGAUGGCGAAGGCAGCCCCCUGGGUCAAGAUUGACGCUCAUGCACGAAAGCGUGGGGAGCAAACAGGAUUAGAUACCCGGGUAGUCCCA
This 471-nucleotide ribosomal RNA is filed under the name uncultured organism. Its description in RNAcentral is "partial 16S ribosomal RNA". It matches the Rfam family "Bacterial small subunit ribosomal RNA", at positions 335 to 797 of the family's 1533-position model. The record is from RNAcentral.